GUCUACGGCCAUGCCACCCUGAACAUGCCCGAUCUCGUCUGAUCUCGGAAGCUAAGCAGGGUUGGGCGUGGUUAGUACUUGGAUGGGAGACAACCUAGGAAGACCAGGUGCUGUAGGCG
This 119-nucleotide ribosomal RNA is filed under the name Pteropus alecto (black flying fox). Lineage: Eukaryota; Metazoa; Chordata; Mammalia; Chiroptera; Pteropodidae. The record is from RNAcentral.